This 72-nucleotide transfer RNA is filed under the name Ornithorhynchus anatinus (platypus). It matches the Rfam family "tRNA". From Rfam's summary of the family: Transfer RNA (tRNA) molecules are approximately 80 nucleotides in length. Their secondary structure includes four short double-helical elements and three loops (D, anti-codon, and T loops). Lineage: Eukaryota; Metazoa; Chordata; Mammalia; Monotremata; Ornithorhynchidae. The record is from Rfam by way of RNAcentral.
AGCAGAGUGGCCUAGUGGAAAGAGCACUGGCCUGGGAAUCAAAGAACCUGGGUUCUAAUCCCAGCUCUGCCA